GACGAACGCUGGCGGCGUGCCUAAUACAUGCAAGUAGAACGCACAGUUUAUACCGUAGCUUGCUACACCAUAGACUGUGAGUUGCGAACGGGUGAGUAACGCGUAGGUAACCUGCCUGGUAGCGGGGGAUAACUAUUGGAAACGAUAGCUAAUACCGCAUAAUAUUGAUUAUUGCAUGAUAAUUGAUUGAAAGAUGCUAUUGCAUCACUACUAGAUGGACCUGCGUUGUAUUAGCUAGUAGGUGAGGUAACGGCUCACCUAGGCGACGAUACAUAGCCGACCUGAGAGGGUGAUCGGCCACACUGGGACUGAGACACGGCCCAGACUCCUACGGGAUGCAGCAGUAGGGAAUCUUCGGCAAUGGACGAAAGUCUGACCGAGCAACGCCGCGUGAGUGAAGAAGGUUUUCGGAUCGUAAAGCUCUGUUGUAAGAGAAGAACGGGUGUGAGAGUGGAAAGUUCACACUGUGACGGUAUCUUACCAGAAAGGGACGGCUAACUACGUG
Molecule: ribosomal RNA, 505 nt
Filed under: uncultured bacterium
Lineage: Bacteria
Description: partial 16S ribosomal RNA
Rfam family: Bacterial small subunit ribosomal RNA
Source: RNAcentral